UUUUUUUUUGUACUAAGUUUUUGAAAUCUGGUGUGGAUUUACACACGUCUUACAGUGCAUCCAAAUUCAGACUGGCCACAUUUCAAGCGCCUAAUAGCCACAUGUGUCUAGAAAAUUCUGUAUUGGCUAGUGUGGACUUAGUCAAUCUGGUGGCUUUCUUUGGCACCUGGAUUUUAAUCUAAUCUUUUACUAAAGCAUUUUAUGAAAGAACUUAAUGAAUAUGACUAUUUUCCUUUCUCUUUUGUUUGUUUGUUUCCUUGGCAGCCAUCAGGCCAAACUUGGUGAGACUUGCCCUCUACCUUAAAUAUAUGCUUAUGCGGGUGAGUGAAAUUAGCAUGGUGAUUAUAUACUAAUAAACUGAUACUACUCAGAAGAAUGAUUUGUUACACAGAAUGGAAGACGUUUCAUUCACAGGACUACUAUGUAGUAAAAGGAAGUCCUAUAAUGGAUCAUUCAAAUGAGGACAAUCCGGAGUGUGAAAGGGGAGCUAUUAAUUACGCCAGGACAAUGCAGAGCAGGACUGUCUCAGGCAAACUGGCAAUAUGUAGCCUUGCGGUUUCACUGUAAGCGUCAUGUGAGCAGAGAUUAUGUCUCAUGACUCUUCUCUUGUGGAGCGUGCAGCAGAGUCUAGACACAUACUGUGUUUCAUACAUUCUUGUUGAUUGAUGUGGAGCCUGAAGAUGCCACCCCUGGGCGCUCUGCCUGAUGCUCUGAAGUCAGAGGCAUUGCCUUGCCUGCUGGGUGGAAGAAUCUUCUUCCUCUCAAGUCCCAUGUCAACAUAAGAAGAUCUCAUGAAGACAGGAGGUGUUUCUAGCCUUCCCCUCGUAAGCUUGUACUUGCCAUGUUCUGUUUCCUGAGGCUCUGGUAUCCUACGGUUGUCUUUGUUUGUUUAAAAUCACAGCAUUUUUUUUUUUUCCAGGAAUACAUCUCUAUUAAGAUGUCCUGUACAUGCACAUUAAAAUGUCAGCAUAAUCUAAUUACGAGCCAAAUGAGGCACAGCAUCAUUUACAUCAUUUGAUAAAUUUCCAUCAUUUGCAGUGGACUAGUGAUUUGAAUCCAAAUACUUCUUGACAGCCUGGAUAUAACAAACAUUCUGUAGCUCUGUAUAGCAGAAGCUUGUGGGUGGAGGUACAUUCUUUUAUUUGGUUACUGCAACCCAGAUUUGAACGUGAAUGCAAAAAAUCUGUUCAGCAUUAGACCUAGUUGUAAAGGAGGAUACCAUGAGAUCAUUACAGGUCAGGGAAAAUGUCAAAGGACUUGGUUCAGACAGCUUUGGUUAGGAUAACCUUCCGUACUUUCUGUGGUCCCGCUAUUUUUUCUCCAAGGAGAAAGUUUGGGGACACAGAAUAAAUAGAGCCAAAGCUAAAUGUUAUGCAUGUAAUUCAAAAGAAUAAGAAUAGAGUGGUUCACAAAAUUUCAAAUAUGGGUCUUUUGUUUAGAUGCAUGCAUUUCACGGUCAUUAAAAGAAAACCCUACCUGAAGAUGAUGAGAAAUAGACUGAGCUUUCCCUCCAUUCAUUACAAAACAUUUUUUUUCUAGCACUGUUCUAAAACUUUGAGAGAAUGAGACUUUUUCCACACUUGGAAACAGGAUGUAUAUAGAGGGCAAAGGUCUGCUCUGUUCUAUCAAGACCCUGGCAUGUGAGACUGAGAAAAACUGACUG
Long non-coding RNA from Physeter macrocephalus (sperm whale), 1663 nucleotides. RefSeq lists it as uncharacterized. The record is from RefSeq and is a predicted model, not a curated record. The transcript is spliced from 3 exons. NCBI's taxonomy places the organism in Eukaryota, Metazoa, Chordata, Mammalia, Artiodactyla, Physeteridae.